UACGGAGGGGACUAGCGUUGUUCGGAAUUACUGGGCGUAAAGCGCACGUAGGCGGACGCUUAAGUCAGAGGUGAAAUCCCGGGGCUCAACCCCGGAACUGCCUUUGAUACUGGGUGUCUCGAGUCCGGAAGAGGUGAGUGGAAUUCCGAGUGUAGAGGUGAAAUUCGUAGAUAUUCGGAGGAACACCAGUGGCGAAGGCGGCUCACUGGUCCGGAACUGACGCUGAGGUGCGAAAGCGUGGGGAGCAAACAGG
This 253-nucleotide unclassified non-coding RNA is filed under the name uncultured Alphaproteobacteria bacterium. RNAcentral's name for it is "contains 16S-23S intergenic spacer region". It matches the Rfam family "Bacterial small subunit ribosomal RNA", at positions 524 to 776 of the family's 1533-position model. Lineage: Bacteria; Pseudomonadati; Pseudomonadota; Alphaproteobacteria. The record is from RNAcentral.